GGAAGGAUCAUUAUCGUACAGAAUGUGAGAGGCAUGCGAGCGCUGUCGCUGACCCAAAAGUCGUGCACGCCCGAGUGUGUUCUCUCACAUGAUCAAUCCAUCUCACCCUUUUGUGCAUCACCGCGUGGGCACCCUUCGGGAUCGUCUCGGAGGGGGCUCGCGUUUUCACACAAAACCCCCCUUUUAAAAAAAGUGUAGAAUGACCUCAUUUAUGCGCUAACCCGCAAUCAAUACAACUUUCAACAACGGAUCUCUUGGCUCUCGCAUCGAUGAAGAACGCAGCGAAAUGCGAUACGUAAUGUGAAUUGCAGAAUUCAGUGAAUCAUCGAAUCUUUGAACGCACCUUGCGCCCCUUGGUAUUCCGAGGGGCACACCCGUUUGAGUGUCGUGAAAACCUCAACCUCCUUGGUUUCUUCUGGAGACCAAAGCAGGCUUGGACUUUGGAGGCCCUUUGCUGGCACCUCUCUUUUGAAGGCCAGCUCCUCUUAAAUGAAUUAGCAGGGUCCUCUUUGCUGAUCCUCGACGUGUGAUAAGAUGUUUCCAUGUCUUGGUUUCUGGCUCUGUCACCUUUGGGACCCGCUUCUAACCGUCUUGACCUUGCAUCGAGACAACGUUCGAGCAUGUCUCCCUUUCUCGGGAAGCUCCCUCGACCCCACGAACCCCUUGACCUCAAAUCGGGUGAGACUACCCGCUGAACUUAAGCAUAUCAAUAAGCGGAGGAA
This 722-nucleotide small RNA is filed under the name uncultured fungus. RNAcentral describes it as "eukaryotic LSU rRNA". The stretch from base 235 to 388 matches the Rfam family "5.8S ribosomal RNA". The record is from RNAcentral. Lineage: Eukaryota; Fungi.